Molecule: long non-coding RNA, 2796 nt
Organism: Carassius gibelio (silver crucian carp)
Lineage: Eukaryota; Metazoa; Chordata; Actinopteri; Cypriniformes; Cyprinidae
Exons: 2
Source: RefSeq, a predicted model, not a curated record
GCAAGCUAAAGACAGACAACAAGAUAAAAAAUAAAAAUGUAAUUCAUUUUAAAAGUGAGUUAGACAGAGCGGGUAAAGAGAAGACUAGGGGCAGCUUAACCUACACGUGGUUAGCUAAGUUUGAGUCAGACAGACUGGCUCAAUCAAGUACUUUUGCCUCUCGAAAUAAAUUAUUGACCCAUCUUUUGAAUUGAUAUCGCAUCAAUCGUUUAUAAAUAAUAAAUGUUGCAUCAUUACAAUACAAUCAACAACAAUAACUUAUUUACAUACAUCAAUUCGUAUCGCUUCAAAAAAUGUCUGCUGCUAUCAUACAGAUAUGGUCUGCUGUUUUGAUGACUAGGCUCAUAUAAUAAUAUACAGCCUCCCCCUACUGGACGCAUGAGGAACAACAGGGGCGUAAAACUGCUUGGGGCCUAUAUCUACCGGCUCCAGGUCUGCAGCCUCCCCCUACUCGCCCAUUUAGGCGGUGAUGUGUAUAAAUGAGCAGUUACAGAUCCCGCCGAUAGAGGCGCAGUGAGACACACUCGAAAACAACAGAACACUGGUUCAGGUGUUUAAAGGGACAUCCCCCAAAAAAGCAGGAGGUUGAUCCUGAGGCUCAAACAGAUCGAUUUACAUUGCUUGAAUUACGGGGACAGUCAAAUGUCCUCAUAAUCCCAAAUGUCCUUGUAAUGUUGUUAUGUAAACUGGUGAAAUGUCCUUGUAAUCCACCAAAACCAACACACACACACACACACUUGUUUUUGCUACAUUGUGGGGACUCAUGACUAGAAGGUUACAUGUGGGGACAGCUAUAUCUAAAUACAAUAACGCCAUAAUUUUAAGUCAGAGGUGUCAAGAAAAUUUUUUUUAUCCCAAAAUUAAUUAUCAAAAAAUCUUAAGUUUAAAAAGCUUCAUUUUUGUCAGGUUUUUCUAUUCUGGUGGGGACGUCGCUAUUGUGUGUUACCACAAACCACCAUCGGGUGUCUACUAUGAAUUUUCUAUUUAUUAUCUAUUUUAUAAGAACUAUAAGCCAUUCAGAGCCAUAUAGAGUGAGAGUUGCGACAACUCCAUUGACUCCAAUGGAACGCUUUUUUUUACAGCAAUGGCGGCUCGUGGAGCCUCUCAAUAGUUCCCGGAAGUAGCAGCAAACCGAUGCCGCGCCGUAGAGAUGCAGCAGAACAAACCGUUUGCGACGCACUUUUAACAGACCCAGGUAACUGGCUGAUGGUUCUCAGGAAUGCUGAAUGGCUGCUGACUGACUUGCUGCUGGUUGACUGGGCAGUGUCACCUGUCCCCGUCUCUCCUCUCUAGCCAUGUCCUUUUUCUUCACUCUCACUUUCCUUUCUCUGAGUGUCCUCGUUCUUUUUUCCUCAACCUUUGAAACUGAUAGAGGUAGAAUACAUGGUUUUGCUAAUUUUAAAUAUUGAAAAUAUCACAUCACUUUACUUCAACUAGUACGAGUUUGUACUUAUUAUAUAUGAAUCACCUGAAAUAACAUAGCUGUAAUCAGCAGCCAUUUCUUGUAUGUUCACAGGUCUAGGGGUGCAUCGUGGAGCAGGGUCCUCCUCUUUUUGACCACAGGACGAUGUACAAAGAUUGUGGGAAUAGCAUCUGGUCUCAGCCUACUCUUGAAUUUUUUGGUCAUGACAAAUUGCAUUGCCACAAUUUGUCUGCAUACUGACUUCAGUUUAGUUUACACACACACCUUUUUUUUUGCCUACCAACAUACUGUACAUAUCACAUGGUGGUUAAAUGCACAGUUAUAGGUAACACUGAUGACUCCCUGCAAUGUCUCACCAUGAGUCUCAGCUCCCUGGGUUUUGCAAGGCUUUGCUUGUUCCUUAUUUCUAGUAAAACAUUGUCAAUGUAAAAAAGUGCAAAUAAAUGUAAGUAUAAUUACCUAACAAUUUUUUGUUGUUGUAAUUUUUAUUUGUAUUUAGAUUGCUCCUGCUGACUUGAGCCAACCAUUAUUUUCUCCUCUCUAUGUCAGCGGGGAAGAUAUACAUUCGCACACCUUUCUCUGACCGAGUGGAGCAUCCCCAUGCAGCACAGUAAACCACGGUGGAGACUAUGCAAGGACAACAUGAAAGAAAGGACACAUACAAAAUGCUUGUCAUGCUAUUAAAUUUAUUAGAAAUGUAUUCAUGAAUUGCUGUAAAUAGUUAAUUGUAUAAUUACAAUUUAAAAUAACUGUUUUCUAUUUUAAAAUGGAAUAUACUCCUGUGAUGCCAACCUGAAUUUUCAGCAUCAUUACUUUUGAAUGGCAGUGUACAUGUUUAUAUACGAGCAUGCUUAAGUUGUUUUAAACCUGAAUAUAUUGUGUACAUGAAUAAGUAUUGUAAGAAUUAUACUAGAUAUAAUAGGUAUAUUAUUUAUAAUACAUAAUUAUAUUACUAUAUGUAAUUGUAAGAAUUAUAAACAGUAAGCUUCAUUUUACAUUUAUUUAACAUGCUAAUUACUGCUGCUAACAGUUAAUUGACCCAUAGUGAAGUGCGAGCUGAAAAUCACCUGUCACCAGCCUGUCUCUGUACUACCUGAAAGUCAUCAAUAUGACAUGAGUUAACAUUAGAUCAGUGAAAAAAUGGACAAUAUGUAACGUAAAAAGGCAACAGCAACCCGUGUUUAUAAAACUUAACUUUAGCCUGAAAUACGUUUUUAAAAUAACGGUAAUUGAACACUAAUCCUCAAAUAUUACCCGAUUUGAUAUUUUAAAAACAACAUCGCUGUAACUACAUACUCAUGCUACAUACAUAUGUCAGUGUGUUGUAUAAACAUAUAAAAUAAAUGCAUUUAUUGACUCCUUAUUACCAGAAA